CAAACCUCCACUCUUAACUCCCUCUUAAAGUAAAUAAGUAAUCUUUGCUGGCAAGGCUAUGCUGAACCCCCUUGAGCACUGUCUAAUUGGAUGUCCUGGGUCCUCCCAAUUCUAAGUCAUUUAAUAUCUGUUUUUCUUCUUCUCUUAAUUCGGACCUUGUGUCUUCCAUUUAGUUUCUCAAUUCAUACAAAACCACAUCCAGGCCAUCACCAAUCAUUCUAUAUGACGAAUGCUCCUUUUAACAACCCCACAAUAUCACCCCUUACCACAAAAUCUUCCUUCAGCUUAAUCUCUCCCACUCUAAGUUCCCACACCGCCCCUAAUCCUGCUCAAAGCAGCCUGAGAAACAUUGCCCAUUAUCUCUCCAUACCACUCCCAAAAUUUUCGCCACCCAACACUUUACCACUAUUUCAUUUUAUUUUUCUUAUUAAUAUAAGAAGACAGGAAUGUCAGGCCUCUGAGCCCAAGCUAAGCCAUCAUAUCCCCUAUGACCUGCACAUACACCUCCAGAUGGCUGGUUUCUGCCUUAACUGAUGACAUUCCACCACAAAAGAAGUGAAAAUGGCUUGUUCCUGCCUUAACUGAUGACAUUACCUUGUGAAAUUCCUUCUCCUGGCUCAUCCUGGCUCAAAAGCUCCCCCACUGAGCACUUUGUGACCCCCGCCCCUACCGGCCAGAGAACAACCCCCUUUGACUGUAAUUUUCUUUACCUACCCAAAUCCUAUAAAAUGGCCCCAC
RNAcentral lists this long non-coding RNA (738 nucleotides) under Homo sapiens (human). RNAcentral's name for it is "non-protein coding lnc-ATF7IP2-5:1". Lineage: Eukaryota; Metazoa; Chordata; Mammalia; Primates; Hominidae. The record is from RNAcentral.